Molecule: ribosomal RNA, 197 nt
Filed under: uncultured bacterium
Lineage: Bacteria
Description: partial 16S ribosomal RNA
Rfam family: Bacterial small subunit ribosomal RNA
Source: RNAcentral
ACGCUCGACACCUACGGGAGGCAGCAGUGGGGGAUAUUGCACAAUGGGGGAAACCCUGAUGCAGCGACGCCGCGUGAAGGAAGAAGGCCUUCGGUUGUAAACUUCUGUCGUACGGGACGAUAAUGACGGUACCGUACAAGAAAGCCACGGCUAACUACGUGCCGGCAGCCGCGGUAAUCUGAGCGGGCUGGCAAGGC